Meriones unguiculatus (Mongolian gerbil) is the source of this 2110-nucleotide long non-coding RNA. RefSeq lists it as uncharacterized. The record is from RefSeq and is a predicted model, not a curated record. The transcript has 2 exons. NCBI's taxonomy places the organism in Eukaryota, Metazoa, Chordata, Mammalia, Rodentia, Muridae.
UGAGGAUUCUUCUGAUACUGGCAGCAUGAAAAGGUUGGCAUGUCACCCAGAAGCAAAGCUGGCUCAUCCUUAGAAAAGGCAGCCGAUAGCCGGACGGGAGACCUGGUCACUAGGAUUCUGUUGCAGGUAGUUCAAAUUUGAGGAAUCUGGAGAAAGAAUAAAUGCCAGAGCCCAGAGAGCAAGGAGCUCAGAGAAAGAACAAAGCUGCUGUUGCUUUCCCCUCCUGCUGUUCCUGUUGUUAUUGAUGCAGUGAGACAAGAAGUUAGAGAUCUCCUGAAACAAGGAUUGAACUGGCUCCAAGCAACCCGAUGACCCUAACCAGCAGGAAGCAGAUAACUGUGUCCCCUCUCCCAUUAACCCUUUCUCUCUCCUGCCUUGUAUUGGGGUAUUGGAUAGCAUUGGGGUGGAGUAGGGAGAAAGAGAUAUAAAAAAUGUAAAUAAAAGAGUUUUUUUAAAGUAGGCCAAUAACACUCUUGCACACCUUUCACCCUUCCAGUUCUCUAGUGCAGUGUGAAUCUUUGGGAAGUUGCUCUUAGUUGUCAACAAGAUGGGAUCUGCAAUGACUAAGAAACAUACUUCGAGAAACAUACCACUAUGGAUCUAAGGGUACUUCCUGGAAAUAUUAACUGAGAGAAGACCCUCCUCCAUAAUGGGCAAUACUUCCCAGCAGCAGCCCUGCCUGCUUUCACUCUUUGCUCAUGAGUAUCUGCAUCCUGUUGCUGCUGCUGCCAACUACCACCAUCCUUUGACAUCAGAACCCAGCUUCUUUGACCUAACAGAAAAUAAAGACCAGUGACUCUCCGGAAAUCCUCCAGGCCUUCAGUGCCAACUAGAACUUUUGGCACAUCCAGACUCAUGGACUGAACAGUUACCCGGUUCUCAGCCUCCUGAGUACACACAGAUGACCACUGUUAGACUGCCUAUCUGUAGUGGCUAUUCUUGGUUGUCAACUUGACCACAUUUGGUAUUAUCUAAAAACCCAAAUGUUGCUGGGCAUUCCUGGAAGGGGUUUUAGUUAACUGGAUCGUUUGAAGUAGCAAUCCCCCAAAUCUGGGCCAUACCUUCAUGGUAGCCUAUAAAGGACAAGGAAGAAGGAAUCUUUUGCUCUUCUCUAGAUUCUGAUGACAUAUAGUGAAGACCAAGAUAGGCCGAGACAGCAGCCUCAUUACUAAAUAACUACUGUACUCUUGGAUUUUGCAUUGGGAGAUAGCCAUUGUUGAGCUAGCUGGACCACAGCCUGCAAGCCAUUUUAAUAAAUUACCUUUACAUGGGUAGAUAGAUAAUUGCACAGAAAGACAGACAGACAGACAGAUAAAUUCGUUUUAUUUCUUUUUUUCCUCUAGAGAGCUCUGACUAGAACACUAGCCCAUAUCAUGUAGGCCAAUCUACUAAAUUCCCUUUGUGAUAUAUAUUCAUGCUAUCCAUUUUAGAGAACCCUGACCAUACAGAUUUCAAAUGUACCUUGAAGGCCCAUGAAUUGAAGGCUUGAUCACCAGCCUGUAGGAGCUGGUGGAACCUUUCAGAUGUGGGACCUAGUGAGAAGACGUUAAAUAAUUGAAACUGUGGCCUUUAAAGAUAUUGGGGGCCAGUUCUUUCCUCCUCAGCUCAUUGAUUUUGAAUGUCAUGAGGUAAGCAGCUUUUCUCUGUCAUAUCCUUCUGUCAUGGUCUUCUGCCUCCUUACGGGUCCUAAGCAACGAUGACUGACUGAAACCCAUAGGCUAAAAAUUACCUUUCCUCCUUAUAAAGUUGAUUACCUCAGAUAUUUUGUCAUAGUGACAGAAAAAUUACCAAGACCCCUCAGUACUGACUACCUUUGUCUUCCCAGAUAAACCUGCAGUGUCUCUUAGCCCCUGCACAGAGAGGAAAUGCACCCAUCUGUGCUGGGCCAGACUGGCUCUGGGUCCCUCCUACCCCCUUGCUUGUUGAGGUAAAUUUUUUGUUUUGUUUUGUUUUUUCAUUUUAUUUUGUUUUGUUUUUUUUCCAGACAGGGUUUCUCUGUGUAUCCCAGGCUGUUCUGGAAUUGCUCUGUAGACCAUUCUGGCCUUGAACUCACAGGGAUCUGCCUGCCUCUGCCUCUUAAGUGCUGAGAUUAAAGGCGUGCACCACCGUG